GUGGGGAAUCUUCCGCAAUGGACGAAAGUCUGACGGAGCAACGCCGCGUGAGUGAUGAAGGUCUUCGGAUUGUAAAGCUCUGUUAAUCGGGACGAAAGAGCCUAGUGUGAAUAAUGCUAGGAAGUGACGGUACCGGAAUAGAAAGCCACGGCUAACUACGUGCCAGCAACCGCGGUAAUACGUAGGUGGCAAGCGUUGUCCGGAAGUAUUGGGCGUAAAGCGCGCGCAGGCGGAACUGCCAGUCCAGCUUAAAAGUUCGGGGCUUAACCCCGUGAUGGGAUGGAAACUACAGAUCUAGAGUAUCGGAGAGGAAAGUGGAAUUCCUAGUGUAGCGGUGAAAUGCGUAGAUAUUAGGAAGAACACCAGUGGCGAAGGCGACUUUCUGGACGAAAACUGACGCUGAGGCGCGAAAGCCAGGGGAGCGAACGGGAUUAGAAACCCUAGUAGUCC
Molecule: ribosomal RNA, 450 nt
Filed under: uncultured bacterium
Lineage: Bacteria
Description: partial 16S ribosomal RNA
Rfam family: Bacterial small subunit ribosomal RNA
Source: RNAcentral